RNAcentral lists this ribosomal RNA (490 nucleotides) under uncultured bacterium. RNAcentral describes it as "bacterial SSU rRNA". It matches the Rfam family "Bacterial small subunit ribosomal RNA", at positions 28 to 507 of the family's 1533-position model. The record is from RNAcentral.
GAUGAACGCUAGCUACAGGCUUAACACAUGCAAGUCGAGGGGCAGCAGGGAUUUAGCUUGCUAAAUCCGCUGGCGACCGGCGCACGGGUGCGUAACGCGUAUCCAACUUUCCCGUUACUCAGGGAUAGCCUUCCGAAAGGGAGAUUAAUACCCGAUGGCAUGUAUUUCCGGCAUCGGAGAUACAUUAAAGAUUUAUCGGUAACGGAUGAGGAUGCGUACGAUUAGCUUGUUGGCGGGGUAACGGCCCACCAAGGCGACGAUCGUUAGGGGUUCUGAGAGGAAGGUCCCCCACACUGGAACUGAGACACGGUCCAGACUCCUACGGGAGGCAGCAGUGAGGAAUAUUGGUCAAUGGUCGGAAGACUGAACCAGCCAAGUAGCGUGAAGGAUGACUGCCCUACGGGUUGUAAACUUCUUUUGUUUGGGAAUAAAAGACGCUACGUGUAGCGUUCUGCAUGUACCUUACGAAUAAGCAUCGGCUAAUUCCGUG